AGACCCGAAACCCGGUGAUCUAGCCAUGGGCAGGUUGAAGGUUGGGUAACACUAACUGGAGGACCGAACCGACUAAUGUUGAAAAAUUAGCGGAUGACCUGUGGCUGGGGGUGAAAGGCCAAUCAAACCGGGAGAUAGCUGGUUCUCCCCGAAAGCUAUUUAGGUAGCGCCUCGUGAAUUCAUCUCCGGGGGUAGAGCACUGUUUCGGCUAGGGGGCCAUCCCGGCUUACCAACCCGAUGCAAACUGCGAAUACCGGAGAAUGUUAUCACGGGAGACACACGGCGGGUGCUAACGUCCGUCGUGAAGAGGGAAACAACCCAGACCGCCAGCUAAGGUCCCAAAGUCAUGGUUAAGUGGGAAACGAUGUGGGAAGGCCCAGACAGCCAGGAUGUUGGCUUAGAAGCAGCCAUCAUUUAAAGAAAGCGUAAUAGCUCACUGGUCGAGUCGGCCUGCGCGGAAGAUGUAACGGGGCUAAACCAUGCACCGAAGCUGCGGCAGCGACGCUGAUGCGUUGUUGGGUAGGGGAGCGUUCUGUAAGCCUGCGAAGGUGGCCUGUGAGGGUUGCUGGAGGUAUCAGAAGUGCGAAUGCUGACAUAAGUAACGAUAAAGCGGGUGAAAAGCCCGCUCGCCGGAAGACCAAGGGUUCCUGUCCAACGUUAAUCGGGGCAGGGUGAGUCGACCCCUAAGGCGAGGCCGAAAGGCGUAGUCGAUGGGAAACGGGUUAAUAUUCCCGUACUUGGUGUUACUGCGAAGGGGGGACGGAGAAGGCUAUGUUGGCCGGGCGACGGUUGUCCCGGUUUAAGCGUGUAGGUGUGUGUUCCAGGUAAAUCCGGUUCACUUUAACACUGAGGCGUGAUGACGAGGCACUACGGUGCUGAAGCAACAAAUGCCCUGCUUCCAGGAAAAGCCUCUAAGCAUCAGGUAACAUCAAAUCGUACCCCAAACCGACACAGGUGGUCAGGUAGAGAAUACCAAGGCGCUUGAGAGAACUCGGGUGAAGGAACUAGGCAAAAUGGUGCCGUAACUUCGGGAGAAGGCACGCUGACA
Molecule: ribosomal RNA, 1048 nt
Filed under: Salmonella enterica
Lineage: Bacteria; Pseudomonadati; Pseudomonadota; Gammaproteobacteria; Enterobacterales; Enterobacteriaceae
Also listed under: 5 other names
Description: partial 23S ribosomal RNA
Rfam family: Bacterial large subunit ribosomal RNA
Source: RNAcentral